This 451-nucleotide ribosomal RNA is filed under the name Penicillium buchwaldii. RNAcentral describes it as "eukaryotic LSU rRNA". It matches the Rfam family "Eukaryotic large subunit ribosomal RNA", at positions 120 to 575 of the family's 3401-position model. The record is from RNAcentral. Lineage: Eukaryota; Fungi; Ascomycota; Eurotiomycetes; Eurotiales; Aspergillaceae.
AGCUGGCUCCUUCGGGGUCCGCAUUGUAAUUUGCAGAGGAUGCUUCGGGAGCGGUCCCCAUCUAAGUGCCCUGGAACGGGACGUCAUAGAGGGUGAGAAUCCCGUAUGGGAUGGGGUGUCCGCGCCCGUGUGAAGCUCCUUCGACGAGUCGAGUUGUUUGGGAAUGCAGCUCUAAAUGGGUGGUAAAUUUCAUCUAAAGCUAAAUAUUGGCCGGAGACCGAUAGCGCACAAGUAGAGUGAUCGAAAGAUGAAAAGCACUUUGAAAAGAGAGUUAAAAAGCACGUGAAAUUGUUGAAAGGGAAGCGCUUGCGACCAGACUCGCUCGCGGGGUUCAGCCGGCAUUCGUGCCGGUGUACUUCCCCGCGGGCGGGCCAGCGUCGGUUUGGGCGGUCGGUCAAAGGCUCUCGGAAGGUAACGCCCCCUCGGGGGCGUCUUAUAGCCGAGGGUGCAA